CAGCCCUCUGGAAUCUUCUCUCACCUCCUAGACACACAUACACACACACAGAGGCACCUCCGGGUAAACAACCUUUGUCCACCUUUGUCCCGGGCCUCCUCUCUCCCUCAGGCUCCAUGCUGAGGAAUGCAGCUGGGAGCCUGCCAGCAAAUGCCAAGGGGCCUCUGGGUCCCAGGUUAGCACCCCACAGCACUCCACAGGGGCAGGCAGGCCUCCAGAGGCUCUCCUGGAAUCCGAAAAGCCACUUCCUUGCUAAGCCUCCGGUUUCCCAUCUGCAAAGUGGGGAUGAUCAUUCCUGCUGCCCUUCCUGACUGAGCCGUCUGAGGACCCAGGGUUCUAGGGGCAGGUCUCCCAGGAUGGGAUUUUGCUUUCUCUUGAAACCCAUGCGUUCCUAGAAUCUGUUCUGUGUUUCAUUGUAGGAGGCUCUGGCCAGGCCUGGGUGUGGCAGGAUAGAAAUGAAAGUUGUCCUGGCAACACACAAGAUUUCAUCAACAUUUCCAUCCCCAGAAGCUCCUGGGCUGAGCCUCAUCUUGCCCAAUGUGGCCUGUCAAGAUGAGGGCCUGGAAGAGAAGCCAGGCUGGGCAGCCAGGCCUCUGCCCCUCCCCUUGCCUGGUGGCACAGCCAGCACUGGCUCACUGGGAAAGCUCACAACUCCUCACAGCGAUCUGGUAUUUUGAGCUUCAGUUUCUGGCCGAAACUGGGGGCUCCUGACGGAGUUCCCUCCCACCUAGAAAACCUUUCCUGCAGUCUGAUUGCUCCAGCACCCACAGAGCAGGAUUCAGGCUGGGAGGCACCCCUAGGUACCCGGCUCCUCAUCACAGCAGCCCUCUCGGUUCCACAUCUGGUUCUCCUGCCGAAGCCGCUGGUUCUCA
Molecule: long non-coding RNA, 872 nt
Organism: Cercocebus atys (sooty mangabey)
Lineage: Eukaryota; Metazoa; Chordata; Mammalia; Primates; Cercopithecidae
Exons: 3
Source: RefSeq, a predicted model, not a curated record